This 414-nucleotide ribosomal RNA is filed under the name uncultured bacterium. Its description in RNAcentral is "bacterial SSU rRNA". It matches the Rfam family "Bacterial small subunit ribosomal RNA", at positions 28 to 416 of the family's 1533-position model. The record is from RNAcentral.
GACGAACGCUGGCGGCGUGCUUAACACAUGCAAGUCGAACGAAAGAGGGGAAGAGCUUGCUCUUUUCAGAAUUGAGUGGCAAGCGGGUGAGUAACACGUAAACAACCUGCCUUCAGGAUGGGGACAACAGACGGAAACGACUGCUAAUACCGAAUAAGUUCCAAGAGCCGCAUGGCCCAUGGAAGAAAAGGUGGCCUCUACCUGUAAGCUAUCGCCUGAAGAGGGGUUUGCGUCUGAUUAGCUGGUUGGAGGGGUAACGGCCCACCAAGGCGAUGAUCAGUAGCCGGUCUGAGAGGAUGAACGGCCACAUUGGGACUGAGACACGGCCCAGACUCCUACGGGAGGCAGCAGUGGGGAAUCUUCCGGCAAUGGACGAAAGUCUGACGGAGCAACGCCGCGUGAGUGAUGACGGCC